RNAcentral lists this ribosomal RNA (429 nucleotides) under Chloroflexota bacterium. Its description in RNAcentral is "Chloroflexi bacterium partial 16S ribosomal RNA". It matches the Rfam family "Bacterial small subunit ribosomal RNA", at positions 355 to 776 of the family's 1533-position model. The record is from RNAcentral. Lineage: Bacteria; Bacillati; Chloroflexota.
UGGGGAAUAUUGCACAAUGGGCGCAAGCCUGAUGCAGCCAUGCCGCGUGUAUGAAGAAGGCCUUCGGGUUGUAAAGUACUUUCAGCGGGGAGGAAGGGAGUAAAGUUAAUACCUUUGCUCAUUGACGUUACCCGCAGAAGAAGCACCGACUAACUCCGUGCCAGCAGCCGCGGUAAUACGGAGGGUGCAAGCGUUAAUCGGAAUUACUGGGCGUAAAGCGCACGCAGGCGGUUUGUUAAGUCAGAUGUGAAAUCCUCGGGCUCAACCUGGGAACUGCAUCUGAUACUGGCAAGCUUGAGUCUCGUAGAGGGGGGUAGAAUUCCAGGUGUAGCGGUGAAAUGCGUAGAGAUCUGGAGGAAUACCGGUGGCGAAGGCGGCCCCCUGGACGAAGACUGACGCUCAGGUGCGAAAGCGUGGGGAGCAAACAGG